UGAAAAGAUUGGCCGAAUUUCGCAAUGAAAACGGGGGAACCGUAUAUUUUGGGGUGAAUUUCACGGAGCUUCAACUCCCAGCAAGGGGAUAUGUUCCGCGAAUAGGGCAACUGGGCAUGUCCGAAUCCGUCAGCUAACCUCGUAGGCCUGUGCAUCAGGAACC
RNAcentral lists this small RNA (163 nucleotides) under Paenibacillus sp. Its description in RNAcentral is "c-di-AMP sequence". It matches the Rfam family "c-di-AMP riboswitch aptamer (ydaO/yuaA leader)". Rfam says of the family: This family represents a conserved RNA structure found upstream of the ydaO and yuaA genes in Bacillus subtilis and related genes in other bacteria. RNAcentral also lists the same sequence under 1 other name. Lineage: Bacteria; Bacillati; Bacillota; Bacilli; Caryophanales; Paenibacillaceae. The record is from RNAcentral.